UGGGGAAUUUUGGACAAUGGGCGAAAGCCUGAUCCAGCAAUGCCGCGUGUGUGAAGAAGGCCUUCGGGUUGUAAAGCACUUUUGUCCGGAAAGAAAUCCUUGGCUCUAAUACAGUCGGGGGAUGACGGUACCGGAAGAAUAAGCACCGGCUAACUACGUGCCAGCAGCCGCGGUAAUACGUAGGGUGCAAGCGUUAAUCGGAAUUACUGGGCGUAAAGCGUGCGCAGGCGGUUUGCUAAGACCGAUGUGAAAUCCCCGGGCUCAACCUGGGAACUGCAUUGGUGACUGGCAGGCUAGAGUAUGGCAGAGGGGGGUAGAAUUCCACGUGUAGCGGUGAAAUGCGUAGAGAUGUGGAGGAAUACCGAUGGCGAAGGCAGCCCCCUGGGCCAAUACUGACGCUCAUGCACGAAAGCGUGGGGAGCAAACAGGAUUAGAUACCCUGGUAGUCCACGCCCUAAACGAUGUCAACUAGUUGUUGGGGAUUCAUUUCCUUAGUAACGUAGCUAACGCGUGAAGUUGACCGCCUGGGGAGUACGGUCGCAAGAUUAAAACUCAAAUGAAUUGACGGGGUCAUA
RNAcentral lists this ribosomal RNA (575 nucleotides) under uncultured bacterium. RNAcentral describes it as "partial 16S ribosomal RNA". It matches the Rfam family "Bacterial small subunit ribosomal RNA", at positions 355 to 923 of the family's 1533-position model. The record is from RNAcentral.